GACGAACGCUGGCGGCGUGCUUAACACAUGCAAGUCGAGCGGUAAGGCCCUUUCGGGGGUACGACGAGCGGCGAACGGGUGAGUAACACGUGGGUGACCUCGCCCUCCAGCUCUGGGAUAAGCCUGGGAAACCGGGUCUAAUACUGGAUAUGACUCCAUGACGCAUGUUGUGGGGUGGAAAGCCUUGUGCGGCUGAGGAUGGGCCCGCGGCCUAUCAGCUUGUUGGUGGGGG
RNAcentral lists this ribosomal RNA (232 nucleotides) under uncultured bacterium. RNAcentral describes it as "partial 16S ribosomal RNA". It matches the Rfam family "Bacterial small subunit ribosomal RNA", at positions 28 to 258 of the family's 1533-position model. The record is from RNAcentral.